UGCUUUAUAUAAUAAGCCAAAAUAAAUAAAAUGAAACAAACAUUUAAUUAAACAAAUUUAUAAAUAAAAAAACCUCAAUCAUAAGCUAUUAGUGGGAAUCCAAAUUACAAACGUGUCGUAAGUUUCCAUAGAUUCCGAUGUAACCUUCGAUUCACCACGAACAAACGACAAAUCAACCAUCACCAAAAAUCUGUGUUAGCAGCCGUAGUCACUGUUCAAACUUGAAUGUCCAAGUAUUUUGCCCAAAAAAGUAGUGCUUCAAUAGCCAAUUUUAAAAGGAAGAAGAGGAAAAAAUUGAAUCUGAUUAUUCAUUGCUUCUUUACGCGGACAAUGAUUGUGAUACUGAUCUGGAGGUUUAAGAAGGUGAUACGGAUCUGGAGGUUGAAGAAGAUGAAAAGUUCGUCUCUUUCGCACCCUAAUUUCAUCUACCUGUUCUUCCUCCCUAUUAAAAAAAACUUCAUACCCAAACGAAACUCUAGUUUUUUGUAGUUUAUUGUAUGAUUUAAUGAUUUGAUCUUGAUCUUCAAUGUUUGGCUAAGAGGAGUUUUUGAUCGAUUUCUGAUGAUUUUAGAUUUUGUUGUUUUUGAUUAGUAUUAAUGUUUAAUGUUGUUGAAGUUUCUGUUAAGGACCAAGAUGCAAAUGUUGAAGUUUUUGUUGAGGACCAAGAUAUGAAUGUUGUGGAUGUUUCUGUUGAUGCGCAAUCUGUUGAUGCGGCUGUUGUUGAUGCAUCUGUUCUGGAGCAAGAUGCAACUGUUGGUGAUCCAUUUGUUGAGGAACGAGCAAAAUGAUACAGAAAGGAUGUAUAUGUUGUUUGACAAAUUUGCCAUUUCAUAUAUAAUAAUAAUUGUGUAGUCAAACAUUAAAUACUCUUUUGUUAGUUACCCAUUAGGUGAACAAUGGCCAAUUGAGUGGAAGUCAAAAAAAUUAAUAGUUUAAUCAUUUAAUUGACAAAAUUGAAAGGUGGAUCACCAAAGUGGAAUAUGACCAAUAGUUUAGGAUAAUAAAACAUAUUUAAGCCAAAAAAAAUA
Molecule: long non-coding RNA, 1028 nt
Filed under: Panax ginseng (ginseng)
Lineage: Eukaryota; Viridiplantae; Streptophyta; Magnoliopsida; Apiales; Araliaceae
Description: long non-coding RNA (PGIN_LNC019026)
Source: RNAcentral